GUACUGCUGAGGAGUCCUAUACUAGGACGAAAUAGUUAUCCAAUAC
Non-coding RNA from Schistosoma curassoni, 46 nucleotides. NCBI's taxonomy places the organism in Eukaryota, Metazoa, Platyhelminthes, Trematoda, Strigeidida, Schistosomatidae. The record is from Rfam.